RNAcentral lists this ribosomal RNA (316 nucleotides) under uncultured bacterium. RNAcentral's name for it is "partial 16S ribosomal RNA". It matches the Rfam family "Bacterial small subunit ribosomal RNA", at positions 355 to 663 of the family's 1533-position model. The record is from RNAcentral.
UAGGGAAUCUUCCACAAUGGACGCAAGUCUGAUGGAGCAACGCCGCGUGAGUGAAGAAGGCUUUCGGGUCGUAAAACUCUGUUAUUGAAGAAGAACGUGCGUGACAGUAACUGGUCAUGCAGUGACGGUAUUCAAUCAGAAAGUCACGGCUAACUACGUGCCAGCAGCCGCGGUAAUACGUAGGUGGCAAGCGUUGUCCGGAUUUAUUGGGCGUAAAGCGAGUGCAGGCGGUCUUUUAAGUCUGAUGUGAAAGCCUUCGGCUUAACCGAAGAAGGGCAUCGGAAACUGGGAGACUUGAGUGCAGAAGAGGAGAGUG